CAGUCGCCACGGUAAUACAGAGGGUGCGAGCGUUAAUCGGAUUUACUGGGCGUAAAGCGUGCGUAGGCGGCUUCUUAAGUCGGAUGUGAAAUCCCUGAGCUUAACUUAGGAAUUGCAUUCGAUACUGGGAAGCUAGAGUAUGGGAGAGGAUGGUAGAAUUCCAGGUGUAGCGCUGAAAUGCGUAGAGAUCUGGAGGAAUACCGAUGGCGAAGGCAGCCAUCUGGCCUAAUACUGACGCUGAGGUACGAAAGCAUGGGGAGCAAACAGGAUUAGAUACCCGCGUAGUCCCUGUCUCUUAUAA
This 301-nucleotide ribosomal RNA is filed under the name uncultured bacterium. RNAcentral describes it as "partial 16S ribosomal RNA". It matches the Rfam family "Bacterial small subunit ribosomal RNA", at positions 509 to 809 of the family's 1533-position model. The record is from RNAcentral.